GCAGUAGGGAAUCUUCGGCAAUGGGGGCAACCCUGACCGAGCAACGCCGCGUGAGUGAAGAAGGUUUUCGGAUCGAAAAGCUCUGUUGUAAGAGAAGAACGUGUGUGAGAGUGGAAAGUUCACACAGUGACGGUAACUUACCAGAAAGGGACGGCUAACUACGUGCCAGCAGCCGCGGUAAUACGUAGGUCCCGAGCGUUGUCCGGAUUUAUUGGGCGUAAAGCGAGCGCAGGCGGUUUAAUAAGUCUGAAGUUAAAGGCAGUGGCUUAACCAUUGUUCGCUUUGGAAACUGUUAGACUUGAGUGCAGAAGGGGAGAGUGGAAUUCCAUGUGUAGCGGUGAAAUGCGUAGAUAUAUGGAGGAACACCGGUGGCGAAAGCGGCUCUCUGGUCUGUAACUGACGCUGAGGCUCGAAAGCGUGGGGAGCAAACAGGAUUAGAUACCCUGGUAGUCCACGCCGUAAACGAUGAGUGCUAGGGUGUUAGGCCCUUUCCGGGGCUUAGUGCCGCAGCUAACGCAUUAAGCACUCCGCCUGGGGAGUACGACCGCAAGGUUGAAACUCAAAGGAAUUGACGGGGGCCCGCACAAGCGGUGGAGCAUGUGGUUUAAUUCGAAGCAACGGGAAGAACCUUACCAGGUCUUGACAUCCCGAUGCUAUUCCUAGAGAUAGGAAGUUUCUUCGGAACAUCGGUGACAGGUGGUGCAUGGUUGUCGUCAGCUCGUGUCGUGAGAUGUUGGGUUAAGUCCCGCGACGAGCGCAACCCCUAUUGUUAGUUGCCAUCAUUAAGUUGGGCACUCUAGCGAGACUGCCGGUAAUAAACCGGAGGAAGGUGGGGAUGACGUCAAAUCAUCAUGCCCCUUAUGACCUGGGCUACACACGUGCUACAAUGGUUGGUACAGCGAGUCGCGAGUCGGAGACGGCAAGCAAAUCUCUUAAAGCCAAUCUCAGUUCGGAUUGUAGGCUGCAACUCGCCUACAUGAAGUCGGAAAAGCUAGUAAUCGCGGAUCAGCACGCCGCGGUGA
This 1022-nucleotide ribosomal RNA is filed under the name uncultured bacterium. RNAcentral describes it as "bacterial SSU rRNA". It matches the Rfam family "Bacterial small subunit ribosomal RNA", at positions 351 to 1365 of the family's 1533-position model. The record is from RNAcentral.